This 3727-nucleotide long non-coding RNA is filed under the name Heterocephalus glaber (naked mole-rat). RNAcentral's name for it is "lncRNA (ENSHGLG00100040883.1)". Lineage: Eukaryota; Metazoa; Chordata; Mammalia; Rodentia; Bathyergidae. The record is from RNAcentral.
CCUGCACUUUUGAAUGCCCUGAGUCUCCAAAGAAAUUCUCUCCCUGAUCUUUUCUCCCACUGCGUGGGUCAUCUGUCGGGUCUCAGUCUUGCUACAGGUUGUUUCCCGCCAUCCAAUGCGCCAAUACACAUCCAUGUUGGGAGCUGUCAAAGUUCAAAAAUAUCCAAAGUCCAGAGGAAAAUAUUUUAAAUGGAAGAAAAAUCUUGGUCACCUUCCAGACUUUUUGCCAAGAAAAGGAUCAAAUUAACACAGCUAUCAACGUUCUAGCGCUGCUGUAACAAAACGCCAAGGACAAGGUGACUGCCUGCUGCCCGAGUCCAGAGGAGGGCGGCGUCCACAGCCUCUCUGCCUCAUGGACCUUCGGUGUGCCUGUGUCCUGCCCUUUUCAAAACAGCAGUCAGCUGAAUUCGACCUAACCCGAGAAGGCCUGGUCCUAGCUGAAUCGCCUGUUUACUAUCUGUGGUGGUUAAGGUCAUUCUAAGUGGGAACGCCCAGCUGAGCCGAGUCACCCACCUGGGUGAGGACUGUUGCCAAGGGCAUACAGGAGAAUGGGCGGGAAGGUGCUGCCAUUGAUCUUCCUGGAGAAGCUGGCUGUGGCUGGUUUUCCUGAAACUAAGUCAGCUGUUCUCGAAGGAGGAGGAGGAGGAGCCGGGUCCUUGCGCUGUCGCUGGGAUGGCUGCUGUUCUCUUCCAGGAGUGCUGGUCUUCACCGUGCGCACACGAGCCUCAGCCUGUGUACUGACCCCUCGCCCCGCAGGUGCAGACUUUCCAGCUUCACCACGGGCACCCGGCAUUCCCAGUCGACUCUCUGUAUGGACUUGCCUGUGACGUUGCCCUGGGCCCCACGCCUCUGAGUGGUCUCAGCAACAGCACCUGUCUCCAAACACAGCCACAUUCAGCGUUGGUGCCAGGUAAUGUGGCAGAGCAAACCUGCGGCAUCACCUGGAGGGAGCAAAGAGAGAGGAGGACUGGGGAUCUGGAUCUCCUCACCCGCUCUUAGCCAAAAGGCUGGGCCUCCACCAAGCCACGUCCUCGAAGAGCUGCAGGCCUCCUGCCAGGCCCCUCCUUUGGGUCCACAGCACCUCCCAUAGCAGCGCCCUGGCACCUGCAGAGACCACAGGACUCCGAGGGUAGCAAAUGUCUAUGCAAACCUGCAGCUGGCAUCAGCCUCAAUGGUGAAAGGCUAAAUGCUUUCCUUAAAAUAGGGAACAAGGGGCGAAUCUGCUCACACCACCGCUAUUUAAUGUAGUAUAAGUAGGGGCCAACAGCGUAGGCAAAGAAAGCAAAAAACGCCCAGAGCAGAAAUGACUGUUCCUAUUUGCAGACGACAUAAUAACUGAAGAAAUGUCUCACAAGAAAUUUAUAAAAAACAAAAAACCAAAACACUCCUAAAAAUAAAUUCAUCCUUCACAAAAUAGAAAUACAAUUGAUUUUUGUAUAUUAUCUUCUAUCCGCUAUGAAAGAACACAAACACUGAAAUUUAAUAUGUCAUCUGCCAUUAUUUAACAAAAAUUGAACACUUAUGUGUAAAUCUAACAAAACAUGCACUAGAUUUGCUUGCCGAAAAGGACACAACACCAAUGAAGUGAAUGAGAAAAGAUCUGAGUAAAUGGAGAGGACACGGGCUUGUGACUGGGUAGAUGCAACCUAAUAAAGAUCUGACUCUCUCCAAAUGGCAAGAUCGGUGCAAUUUCUAUUAAAAUCCUAGCAAGGAUUCUGUAGGUAUUAGUUAUUCAAAACUUAUAUGAGAAAGCAAAAGAAUCACUAAGAUGAAUUUGAAAAAGAAGAAUGAAGCCAGAGUAAUCGGUCUGCCCAAUUCCAAGACUUUUUUUUUUUAACCAAGGUAAGGGAGCAACUCAGCUGUGGAGAGAGAGCCUUUCCCACACACGGCCACCCACAGGCCAACAAGCGACUCUCAAGCUUCACAUCUUAUUCAAACAUUAUUUCAAAGGAGGACGCAGACUUAAGUAUAAAAUAACAUCACCACCACCCCCGUGUUCAGAAAAGAGGAGAAAAUCUGUGGUUUGUGGAAUGAGGCAAGAAGUUCUUAGACUGGACAUGAAAAGCAUGAUCCAUAAAAGGAAAAAUUGGUAAGUUGGACUGAAUCAAAACUUACAACUUUUGUUCUGCAAAAGACCAUGGCAGGAGGACUAACUAUAGUUAUAAUAAUUUGUUAUGGAAUACACAAUAUAAAUAGACAGAAAACACAAAAUCAGUGCAUAAAAUGUGGGGUGGGGAAGAAGUAAAAAUGUAGUCUUUGUAUGCAUUCAAAGUCAAGCUGUUGCUAGCUUAAAUUAGAAUAUUAUAACUAUACAUGUUUUAUGUAAGCCUCAUGAUAACCGCAAAGAAAAAAUCCUCUAGUAGGUACACAAAAAAUAAAGAGAAUGAAAUCAAAUCAUACCAGCACAAAAAUGGAACAAAUCAUAAAGGAAGACAGCAAGACCGGUAGAAAGGAAAAAGAAACCACAAAACAGUUGGCAAUAGUAAGUCAUGACCUGUCAAUAAUUCCUUUAAAUAUAGAUAACAUCUCUCAUCAAAAGAUAGAGUGGCCAAAUGGAUUUUUUAAAAUCCAAGAAUAUGCUGCCAAUAAGAGACUCAGUUUGCCUUAAGGAUACACAUGGGCCAAAGGGAAGGAAUGGGAAAAGCUAUUCCAGGCACAUGGAACCUAAAACCAGUCAAGGAUGGUUGUAUUUAUAUCAGACAAAACCAAUUUUAAGUUAAAAAAAAUUGUAAAAGGAGACAAGGAAGGCCACCAUAUAUUGAUAAGGGGGUCAAUUCAUCAAGAGCACAUAACAACCCUAAAUAUUUAUGUGCCAUGUUCGGAAAUUUAAAAGAAUUCUAAAAUAAUAAGGGACUCGGACUCUCUAAUAGCAAGAACACAAGCAAAACUCCCAAGAACUCUGAUUUUAAAAUGAGUGAAGGACCUGAAAAGACAUUCCUUAGGAGACAUACAAGUGGCCAGAGGAGGUAUGAAAAAAGUGCUCAGCAGGGUAACCACAGGGAAGCGCAGCCCAGACCCACGGGGAGACACGGUCCCUUGUCACCGCGGUCGUCGCUGAAUGGCUGUUCUGUAAUGACGGCAAAUCACUGCCAGCGGGUGUGGAGAGAGGAGCAUCCCUCACUGCCAGGGGGAGCAAGCCCAUGCGGCUGUGCAGAGGACCAAGGGAAGACCCCUGCAAACAUCAACCAUGGAGCCAGCAUGCAGCCGGCACCGCUGAGCACGCACGUGAAGGAAUGGAGGUGUCCGUCCACUGCAGCCCUGCUCGUGCUGCUAAGCGAGGAAGCCAUCUGUGCAGAUGUGUGGAUAAAGGAAAUGCGCUGCAUGGACACAACACAGUACUGUUCACUCUUUACAAUGAAAAGGAAAUCCAGUCAUCCGCAACAUGGACAGCCUGGAGGACACCGUGCUGAGUGACACAAGCCAGACGAGACAAGAAAAGCAGGUACUGCAUGUGGCACUCACGCCCAGACUCUGCCCUGUCCUCCUCACCAAGCACAGAGCAGGACACAGAGGCACGGGCCCACCGUGACAGCUUAGAGCUCUCUCUCAGACACGACGGUCGGAGAUCCGCAGCACGGCAAGGAGUGGAUUUCACAACUCCUGAAAGAGUCCAUGUGCAACAUCCUCCCCAGCACGCAGAGUGUGAGGAGACUGUGACCCUAGUUCGAUUUGAUCAUUCCACAGCGUAAACACACAUCGAAGGGUCACGCUGCACUCACACACGCAU